This 168-nucleotide ribosomal RNA is filed under the name Salmonella enterica subsp. enterica serovar Heidelberg. RNAcentral's name for it is "partial 23S ribosomal RNA". It matches the Rfam family "Bacterial large subunit ribosomal RNA", at positions 2775 to 2925 of the family's 2925-position model. RNAcentral also lists the same sequence under 2 other names. The record is from RNAcentral. Lineage: Bacteria; Pseudomonadati; Pseudomonadota; Gammaproteobacteria; Enterobacterales; Enterobacteriaceae.
AAGCAUCUAAGCACGAAACUUGCCCCGAGAUGAGUUCUCCCUGAGACUUAGAGUCUCCUGAAGGAACGUUGAAGACGACGACGUUGAUAGGCCGGGUGUGUAAGCGCAGCGAUGCGUUGAGCUAACCGGUACUAAUGAACCGUGAGGCUUAACCUUACAACGCCGAAG